GACGAACGCUGGCGGCGUGCUUAACACAUGCAAGUCGAACGGAAAGGCCCCUUUGGGGGUACUCGAGUGGCGAACGGGUGAGUAACACGUGAGUAACCUGCCCUUGACUUCGGGAUAACUUCAGGAAACUGGGGCUAAUACCGGAUAGGAAUCCUUGCUGCAUGGUGGGGGUUGGAAAGCUUCGGCGGUUUUGGAUGGACUCGCGGCUUAUCAUCUUGUUGGUGGGGUAGUGGCUUACCAAGGCUUUGACGGGUAGCCGGCCUGAGAGGGCGACCGGCCACAUUGGGACUGAGAUACGGCCCAGACUCCUACGGGAGGCAGCAGUGGGGAAUAUUGCACAAUGGGCGGAAGCCUGAUGCAGCAACGCCGCGUGCGGGAUGACGGCCUUCGGGUUGUAAACCGCUUUCAGCAGGGGCGAAGCUUGUGGUGACGGUACCUGCAGAAGAAGCACCGGCUAACUACGUG
Molecule: ribosomal RNA, 465 nt
Filed under: uncultured bacterium
Lineage: Bacteria
Description: partial 16S ribosomal RNA
Rfam family: Bacterial small subunit ribosomal RNA
Source: RNAcentral